UCCACUCUUCGUCUCUCUAUUUCUCGAUCGAAAUAGAUUUUUAUUACAAAAUUAAAGUGAAAUUAAAACGUAUCGGUGCUAAAACCAAAAUGUAUAUCCGAUUUAUGUAAAUUGGAUUACGAAAACUACUCGCAUGAAAAUUUCUAGUCUCUUUUGCUCGUUCGAAUAGAUACAUUUAAAUAUAUACACGUGUACAUAUACACGGAUAUACAUGUAUGUGAUACAUUUACUUACACUUUUCGCGAUUUACUCUUCACAACGACUUCUCUCACUUUUCAAAGACAUUACAAAAGUGUCGUGCCCGUUUAUCAUUUCACAUAGAAUCCACGAGGACUAUUCGCUCGAUGCUAAUUCUACGGGUCUCCUGGAAAGUGACAAUUACUUUUAACGGACACAGACGAGUUGGAGCUAGCUAGCUCGUUUCUCUUACAAGAAAGAGAGAAAGAGAAUGAGAAAGAGAGAAGCAGAGAGAGAGAAAUAGAGAGAAGAUAGAUUAUCGUCGUCUACGAGAUAUCUUACGAGAGCUUGUGAACGCGAAGAAGUUAAGGAGAAAAGGAAACGAGAGAAUCUGUUGGUAAAAGGGAAGAAUUGGUUAACAAAAGGUCUUCGUCGAAAGUAUUCUUAGCAUUACAGGUCCGCUGACAAAGGUUACGAUAAGAUGAUGAAGAGAAGAGUCUUGGAAAUGUCAGUACUAGUUAAGAGAAGUUCCACUUUAAAGCAUGGCGAGUGGUAAACAUCGAAUCGACUGGCAAAACACGCGGGAGUUGGUCCUUGUAUUUCGUGGUGAGCGAACUUCGGUAAAAGGGAGAAAAGAAAAAUCAAGGUGGCCGGUAAUGUUAUUCCCAAUAGACGAAAAGAAUCGAAGGGGAGAGAAAGAGAUAGAGAAAACUAAAUUUAUUUAUCGGACGAACAAAAGCCUAAAGCUUUUGGAAGAAAAUGAAAAUUUAAAUGCUAAAUCUAAUUUUAAAUGACGUGUAUUAAUUUUCUAUUAACUUUAGAUCAAUAUACGAAGUUUAUUCUUACUUUAAAUGGAAUGUUAAACUUUUAUGUGAUCAAUAUACCAAGUUAAAAUGACAAUAGGUAGAAAAAUUAAUAAAGUGGGGUAAAGAUAAAAGAGAAAAAAGCUUGUAGUACGAGAAGGAACACGAUUAAAGACUGAGAAGGAGUAGUUAGAGUAGAAGGAAGCACGUCGAGGCUAAAGAAGAAAAAAGAAAGAGAAGGAAGAGAGUUCGGGCGAUCGCAAAAGUUUCCGUUCGAUGCCAAUGACAUUUUCUUCCCACUUGGGUAACUCCGCUCGAACGUUCUUCGAUAACUCCUUCCUCUUGGCUUUCCCAUCUUCCUAAGCGAGAUCUGUUUUAAGAAAAUGCACCUGCAACGUAAUUUUGUAUCUUGCAAACGGGGAGAGGUGUUAACUAUAUCGAAUAGAAGCUCGAGUCCCUAAUCCGUAUCAUGGGUAUGAGAAGAACACGAUAUCCUUGGAAAGCUAUCCAAUUUCGUCGAUUUUUGUUGUAUUCCUUUUUGUUUCUUCGUAUCAUCGUAAUACCAUUGAAAGUUUUUAAAAUUCACCAGCAUUAUCAUACUGAUAAGACAACGUAACAUUCAAGGAAGAUAAGAAACGAGAAUACGAUCCUAAGAGAUCAGACGACGGAUGGUGGGACACUUUGAAACUUGGAGCGUCAAGGUCCCGAUUCAUCGAUCACUUUAAUACGACAAAAAUGAUUAAUCAAAAGACCCGUUGGGCGUCAUGUUUUACAUAACGGCCGGCUCUAAAAGUCGGAAGCGGAACGCGCACUAGCACGAAAAGCACUGAGAGGAAGAGUGGACCUGGCGUUAAGCAAUGAAAGGGUUUGAGAGGGACGGUCGGUCGUUUAGAGAUACUGAUGCCCUCGGACAGGCCGCUAAAAGCAGAGCUCGCACCAUCUCGUUGACUGCACUCGGUCUACGUCUAAAACAGAAAAAUACACCGGAUGGAGAAAAAACAAGGCGAGCAAUACUAUUCUUUUUCUCUUGAUACGAAAACGAGAACGGGAGGGUAAAGUAACAGAGAGAAAGAAAGAGACAGAUACAGUAAGAAAGAAAGAAGAUAUAGAUAAAGAGAGAAAAAGAGAGAAAAGGAGAGAAAGAGAGAAUAGAGAAAAAGAGAAAAACUAAAGAAAGAUAGAUAGAUAGAGAGAGAAAGAGAAAGAGAGAAAAAGAAGUGAAGAGAAAGACGAAGAAGGAGAAAACUCAGAACGUGGAAUACAAAUGGACAAUAAACCGUCCUCGCCCAGCGUCUACCGACGGUGUAUCACCGGUGACACCGGUAGUUUUAGUUUAUGCCGCAUGUAUAAGCGGCGUUUCCCGUCAGGAGCCCAGGGUCUAACGCGAUUCUCGUUUCAAGGAUUCUCUUGGCUACCUCUACUCACUCUCUUUCUGUCCCUUUUCAUCCUCUUCACCGAGCUUCCAUAGGAGAACAGUCUUCCUUACUCUUCUCUUCCCUUCUAUCUCUCCUUUCCUCUUAUUUGCUCCCUUUUCCAUCAUAUUACUCUUCUUUCUUUUUCGUUUUUCAUCUUUGCAAGUUUGCCUUCUAUCCUUUCUUUCUCUUUUUUCAUUUUCUGGAAACUCUUUUAUGAUUUUUCC
Long non-coding RNA from Vespula vulgaris, 2619 nucleotides. RefSeq lists it as uncharacterized. The transcript is spliced from 3 exons. Lineage: Eukaryota; Metazoa; Arthropoda; Insecta; Hymenoptera; Vespidae. The record is from RefSeq and is a predicted model, not a curated record.